GAUGAACGCUGGCGGCGUGCCUAAUACAUGCAAGUCGAGCGAACAGACGAGGAGCUUGCUCCUAUGACGUUAGCGGCAGACGGGUGAGUAACACGUAGAUAACCUACCUAUAAGACUGGGAUACCUUCGGGAAACCGGAGCUAAUACCAGAUAAUAUAUUCAACCGCAUGGUUCAAUAGAGAAUGAGGGUUUUGCUGUUACUUAUAGAUGGUUCCGCGCCGCAUUAGCUAGUUGGUAAGGUAACGGCUUACCAAGGCAACGAUGCGUAGCCGACCUGAGAGGGUGAUCGGCCACACUGGAACUGAGACACGGUCCAGACUACUACGGGAGGCAGCAGUAGGGAAUCUUCCGCAGUGGGCGAAAGCCUGACGGAGCAACGCCGCGUGAGUGAUGAAGGUCUUCGGAUCGUAAAACUCUGUUAUUAGGGAAGAACAAAUGUGUACAUAACUAUGCACGUCUUGACGGUACCUAAACAGAAAGCCACGGCUAACUACGUG
Molecule: ribosomal RNA, 497 nt
Filed under: uncultured bacterium
Lineage: Bacteria
Description: partial 16S ribosomal RNA
Rfam family: Bacterial small subunit ribosomal RNA
Source: RNAcentral